Molecule: ribosomal RNA, 406 nt
Filed under: uncultured Sneathia sp.
Lineage: Bacteria; Fusobacteriati; Fusobacteriota; Fusobacteriia; Fusobacteriales; Leptotrichiaceae
Description: bacterial SSU rRNA
Rfam family: Bacterial small subunit ribosomal RNA
Source: RNAcentral
UGAGUAACGUGUAAAGAACUUACCAUAUAGACUGGGAUAACAGAGGGAAACUUCUGAUAAUACUGGAUAAGUUAGUAGUAGCAUUACUAAGUAAAUGAAAGGUAGUAAUACGCUAUAUGAGAGCUUUUGCAUCCUAUUAGCUAGUUGGUGGGGUAAAAGCCCUACCAAGGCGAUGAUAGGUAGCCGGCCUGAGAGGGUGGACGGCCACAAGGGGACUGAGAUACGGCCCUUACUCCUACGGGAGGCAGCAGUGGGGAAUAUUGGACAAUGGAGGCAACUCUGAUCCAGCAAUUCUGUGUGUGUGAAGAAGGUUUUAGGACUGUAAAACACUUUUAGUAGGGAAGAAAGAAAUGACGGUACCUACAGAAGAAGCGACGGCUAAAUACGUGCCAGCAGCCGCGGUAAU